UACGGGGGGGGCAAGCGUUGUUCGGAAUUACUGGGCGUAAAGGGCUCGUAGGCGGCCAACUAAGUCGAACGUGAAAUCCCUCAGCUUAACUGGGGAACUGCGUCCGAUACUGAUUGGCUUGAAUCCGGAAGAGGGAUGCGGAAUUCCAGGUGUAGCGGUGAAAUGCGUAGAUAUCUGGAGGAACACCGGUGGCGAAGGCGGCAUCCUGGGUCGGUAUUGACGCUGAGGAGCGAAAGCGUGGGGAGCAAACAGG
RNAcentral lists this ribosomal RNA (253 nucleotides) under uncultured bacterium. RNAcentral's name for it is "partial 16S ribosomal RNA". It matches the Rfam family "Bacterial small subunit ribosomal RNA", at positions 524 to 776 of the family's 1533-position model. The record is from RNAcentral.